CAAUAGCGUAUAUUAAAGUUGUUGCGGUUAAAAAGCUCGUAGUUGGAUUUCUGCUGAGAACGACCGGUCCGCCCUCUGGGUGUGUAUCUGGCUCUUUCUUGGCAUCUUCUUGGUGAACGUUGCUGCACUUGACUGUGUGGAGCGCUACCCAGGACUUUUACUUUGAGGAAAUUAGAGUGUUUCAAGCAGGCAUACGCCUUGAAUACAUUAGCAUGGAAUAAUAAGAUAGGACCUCGGUUCUAUUUUGUUGGUUUCUAGAGCUGAGGUAAUGAUUAAUAGGGAUAGUUGGGGGCAUUCGUAUUUAACUGUCAGAGGGGAAAUUCUUGGAUUUGUUAAAGACGGACUACUGCGAAAGCAUUUGCCAAGGAUGUUUUCAUUGA
This 380-nucleotide ribosomal RNA is filed under the name uncultured eukaryote. Its description in RNAcentral is "partial 18S ribosomal RNA". It matches the Rfam family "Eukaryotic small subunit ribosomal RNA", at positions 592 to 976 of the family's 1831-position model. The record is from RNAcentral.